Molecule: non-coding RNA, 140 nt
Organism: Sturnus vulgaris (Common starling)
Lineage: Eukaryota; Metazoa; Chordata; Aves; Passeriformes; Sturnidae
Source: RefSeq, a predicted model, not a curated record
AACAUGUUGGGCAGGAACCUGUUUCAAUUGCUGGGGUUACAGGAGGAUCUCAGGAAUUGACUUUGCUGGAGGCUGAGGUGAGUCUGACUGGGAAAGAGUGGCAGAAACAUCCAAUUGUGACUGGCCCAGAGGCACCAUGU